AGUGAACGCUGGCGGUAGGCCUAACACAUGCAAGUCGAACGGCAGCACAGUAAGAGCUUGCUCUUACGGGUGGCGAGUGGCGGACGGGUGAGGAAUACAUCGGAAUCUACUUUUUCGUGGGGGAUAACGUAGGGAAACUUACGCUAAUACCGCAUACGACCUACGGGUGAAAGCAGGGGAUCUUCGGACCUUGCGCGAUUGAAUGAGCCGAUGUCGGAUUAGCUAGUUGGCGGGGUAAAGGCCCACCAAGGCGACGAUCCGUAGCUGGUCUGAGAGGAUGACCAGCCACACUGGAACUGAGACACGGUCCAGACUCCUACGGGAGGCACCAGGGGGGAAUAUGGGACAAGGGGCGCAAGCCUGAUCCAGCCAUCCCGCGUGGGUGAAGAAGGCCUUCGGUUUUUAAAGCCUUUUUGUUGGGAAAAAAAAGCAGCAGGUUAAUACCCCGCUGUUCUGACGGUACCAAAAAAAUAAGCACCGGCUAACUUCGUG
This 492-nucleotide ribosomal RNA is filed under the name uncultured bacterium. Its description in RNAcentral is "partial 16S ribosomal RNA". It matches the Rfam family "Bacterial small subunit ribosomal RNA", at positions 29 to 507 of the family's 1533-position model. The record is from RNAcentral.